This is a long non-coding RNA of Saimiri boliviensis boliviensis (Bolivian squirrel monkey), 1892 nucleotides long. RefSeq lists it as uncharacterized. Lineage: Eukaryota; Metazoa; Chordata; Mammalia; Primates; Cebidae. The record is from RefSeq and is a predicted model, not a curated record.
CUUCCAAACUGCUGGGAUUACGGGCUUGAGCCACAGCUCCUGGCCCCAAAGCCAUAUCUUAAUGCAGAAUGAUGUUCAGCAAGGGCGAGUUGAUUUGGUAGAGAAAAAAAGAGAGAAAACUCUGUGAUUGUUACGGAUCCACAAUGAAGAAAGCACAGGGUUCCCUGAUAAAUCUCCGCACCCCUCAGCCUCCAUUGGCCAUUAUUUUGACAUGGUCUUGUCACCUCUCCUGCCAAACCUUUAGUUACAGAACGUUGGCACUGAGAAGAGAAUUUCUUCAUGGGUCAUUUUUCUAAAACUUGAUGCCUGAGUGAAAAGCGUGAAUGGUUGGCCAAAUUCAUGUAUCACGCAAUGCAACAGUGCGACAUUGCAGCCCAAGAGGAAGUUUCACAUUUCAGCUGCACUGAAACAAGACUUGACUGCUACAUGCUUGUGCAAUUACAGAAGUAGCUAUCCUUUCUCCUGGAUCAUCAAAGACUACCUGUCUCAAAGUAAAAUAAACCCGUAAAUUAAGUUAGACAAUAUUUUAAACACAACCCUUACUAAUGUCACGAUUUAUUAAAUUAAGAUGUCUCGGGCUGACUAAAAAGGAAAUCAUGAUAGGCCACAAUGCACACUGUGGGGUUUGGAGGCCCCCUGUCCAGAGCCAGAUUUUCCUGCCUGAAAGCCCUAGGCUCCCUGGACUGUCUGAAAAGACUACACUUGCUCCAAGUUCCAUGUCGAAAGUCUCCUGGGCAGAAUUCCUUAAUCCCCACUCCUGGUUCCUCUCCCCGUGUGAUACGCCAACCAGUGCCCUACUGCCAGCUCAAAGAAGAGGAGACCUUCAUUUAAUGAACUUGAACGUCUCAGUGUCCAGUAUGACUCCAUAUGGAACGCGUGAAUAAUCACAGACAGCAUCUCAGUGUCCACUACGACUCCAUAUGGAACGGGUGAAUAACCACAGACAGCAUCUCAGUGUCCAGUACGACUCCAUAUGGAACGCGUGAAUAAUCACAGACAGCAUCUCAGUGUCCACUACGACUCCAUAUGGAACGCGUGAAUAAUCACAGACAGCAUCUCAGUGUCCAGUACGACUCCAUAUGGAACGCGUGAAUAACCACAGACAGCUUCGCAUGGUUAAUAGCUGCACGCUCAUCCUGAAAACAGCGCAACUUGCAAUAGAGCAAAGUAAGAAGUGCCGGUGUUCUGGAAACCUAACCCUCCUAUCCUGGGAUCUAGACCACAGCCUCUUCAUCAGGGGGAAAAAGAACACACCUUCUUAAUCAAUCUGGACCUCUUUCUUUUAAUUAAUACAGCUCGUUAUCCUAGUUCCACAGGGGCUCGUUAGUGCCUAGGUGACAAUCAUGACAAUGCCUUCCUGAAAGUUAAGAGAUGAAGACUGCCUAUUUCCUUACCUAUUACAACUACGCUCUGUGAGGCCUUAGGGAGAUGCUUGGUAGAAUAAAUGCUGGUCUCCCCUUCCCAUCUUCGGGUGAAUACAGACAAAUUGAAAUUUAAAAAAAUACGUACUUGCACAUUUUGUGUUGUUCAGUAAUGACAAGCCUAGAUUUCGUUUUUCAAAAAAGGAGGAUUUCUUAUUAACAAUUGUACAUGCUGAGUUCCAAGUAGAUGAAAAAACAGUUUUUCUGACUCCUGACAAAACCAAUGGGUCACUUGAUUUGUGUCCAUUGUAUCACCCAGUAUAAAUACGGAGGGAUAGGUUACAUGAACGUUUCCAAACAAAAGUGCAUUUUUGAACUCACAACCAAGAUAUUUUACCUAACCAAGAAUGUAACUGAGUCACAAUAAUACUUUGUGUUUACAGACUACGUUCUUAAGAUGCUUAACCUGCCUUAUCAAUGUUAUGUUACCUUGUCGGGAGCCAUGACUGGGAUAUUAUUUUUAUUAAAUGA